Molecule: long non-coding RNA, 813 nt
Organism: Aedes aegypti (yellow fever mosquito)
Lineage: Eukaryota; Metazoa; Arthropoda; Insecta; Diptera; Culicidae
Exons: 3
Source: RefSeq, a predicted model, not a curated record
UUCGGACCAGCACCUCUGGCACCACUGCCGGCCGACGAAGGAAAUUUGAAGGAGGAACAAAUGUGAUGGAAGGGAAAGGCAAAACGUCAAACAAGAUUACGGGCAAAAAAUUAGAAGUCGCGUGAUUAAGGUAGAUUGAAUUUAUUUACAGUUAACUAUUUUAUUUGAAAUUUGAGAAGUUUAAGCUAGAAGUGGGCGAUAUAAUAACUACUGAUCAGAGCUAGAACACACAUGUUGAAUUGAUUGAAGCUACGACACUACAUUAAAAUUACAUGCAAACAGAAAAGGGAGUUAAGAGCUGUAAAUCGUGAAAUAAAAGGAGAAAGUGAAAGUCAUUCGCAGGAGGGAAACGAAGAAACUAACUCUUUGAUCUGCUUUGAAGUGGCAGAUUUCACGGAUUUUUUCUUCAACUUCGACGGUUUCCGAACAAAAUCAAAGAGUUACGCAAACCUAACCUCAAAGCAUGGCUUUCCAGACUCCAGAAGAUGGUAACGAACGGCUGGCGACCUGUUUGAUGUGUGGUGGACCAGAGGAUGAUGAUUUCAACAUGGUGAGUUGCAAUGAAUGCAAGAUGUGGGCUCAUUUCAAAUGCGCCGAAGUAACGGAUGAAGUUAAAAAUGCCGAUUGGUUCUGCCAAGAGUGCACCAAAUCUCGCGAGACAUACUUGCGGGUCUCGAAGAAAAGGACCUCGAAGAAAGGGUCUACAAAGAGUGGAGUUGAUUCGAUACGGAGCGGAGGUUCUUCCGUCGCUGCACAUGUCGCUGAAAUAGAAGAAGAACUACGUGCGAGGGAGAGUGCUCUAUCGGAUCAAAU